GGGCAAGUCUGGUGCCAGCAGCCGCGGUAAUUCCAGCUCCAAUAGCGUAUAUUAAAGUUGUUGCAGUUAAAAAGCUCGUAGUUGAACCUUGGGCCUGGCUGGCCGGUCCGCCUCACCGCGUGCACUGGUUCAGCCGGGCCUUUCCCUCUGGGGAACCCUAUGGUCUUCACUGAUCGUAGCGGGGAACCAGGACUUUUACUGUGAAAAAAUUAGAGUGUUCAAAGCAGGCCUAUGCUCGAAUACAUUAGCAUGGAAUAAUAAAAUAGGACGUGUGGUACUAUUUUGUUGGUUUCUAGGACCGCCGUAAUGAUUAAUAGGGAUAGUCGGGGGCGUCAGUAUUCAGCUGUCAGAGGUGAAAUUCUUGGAUUUGCUGAAGACUAACUACUGCGAAAGCAUUCGCCAAGGAUGUUUUCAUUAAUCAGGGAACGAAAGUUAGGGGAUCGAAGACGAUCAGAUACCGUCGUAGUCUUAACCAUAAACUAUGCCGACUAGGGAUCGGACGGUGUUAUUUUUUGACCCGUUUGGCACCUUACGGGAAAC
RNAcentral lists this ribosomal RNA (540 nucleotides) under uncultured Pestalotiopsis. Its description in RNAcentral is "SSU rRNA". It matches the Rfam family "Eukaryotic small subunit ribosomal RNA", at positions 553 to 1098 of the family's 1831-position model. Lineage: Eukaryota; Fungi; Ascomycota; Sordariomycetes; Amphisphaeriales; Amphisphaeriaceae. RNAcentral also lists the same sequence under 1 other name. The record is from RNAcentral.